GUGCUUGCUUCGGCAGCGCAUAUACUGAAAUCGGGACAACACAGAGAUUAGCAUGGCCCCUGCACAAGGAUGACACAUAAAUUCGUGAAGCAUUCCAUAUUUUU
Small nuclear RNA from Equus asinus (donkey), 104 nucleotides. Lineage: Eukaryota; Metazoa; Chordata; Mammalia; Perissodactyla; Equidae. The record is from Ensembl.